GGGCCGAUAGCUCAGUUGGCUAGAGCGCCGCCCUUACAAGGCGGAAGUCGUGGGUUCAAGUCCCUCUCGGCCCA
RNAcentral lists this transfer RNA (74 nucleotides) under Planctomycetaceae bacterium. RNAcentral describes it as "tRNA-Val". It matches the Rfam family "tRNA". From Rfam's summary of the family: Transfer RNA (tRNA) molecules are approximately 80 nucleotides in length. Their secondary structure includes four short double-helical elements and three loops (D, anti-codon, and T loops). RNAcentral also lists the same sequence under 1 other name. Lineage: Bacteria; Pseudomonadati; Planctomycetota; Planctomycetia; Planctomycetales; Planctomycetaceae. The record is from RNAcentral.